RNAcentral lists this ribosomal RNA (366 nucleotides) under uncultured eukaryote. RNAcentral's name for it is "partial 18S ribosomal RNA". It matches the Rfam family "Eukaryotic small subunit ribosomal RNA", at positions 592 to 976 of the family's 1831-position model. The record is from RNAcentral.
CAAUAGCGUAUAUUAAAGUUGUUGCAGUUAAAAAGCUCGUAGUUGAAUUUCUGGCGGGCGCGCCGGUCUUCCAAGUGUUGUACUGGGCGCAGUCCGCCAUCCUUGUGGAGAGGGCUCGCAUUGAGUUGCGUGUCGGAUCUGCAUCAUUUACUGUGAAAAAAUUAGAGUGUUUAAAGCAGGCUGUCGCUUGAAUACAUUAGCAUGGAAUAAUAAGAUAGGACUUCGGUCUAUUUUGUUGGUUGCGAACCGAGGUAAUGAUUAAUAGGGAUAGUUGGGGGUAUUCAUAUUUAAUUGUCAGAGGUGAAAUUCUUGGAUUUAUGAAAGAUGAACAACUGCGAAANCANNNACCAAGGAUGUUUNCAUNAA